This is an unclassified non-coding RNA of Macaca fascicularis (crab-eating macaque), 297 nucleotides long. It matches the Rfam family "Metazoan signal recognition particle RNA". Rfam says of the family: The signal recognition particle (SRP) is a universally conserved ribonucleoprotein. It is involved in the co-translational targeting of proteins to membranes. The eukaryotic SRP consists of a 300-nucleotide 7S RNA and six proteins: SRPs 72, 68, 54, 19, 14, and 9. The record is from Ensembl. NCBI's taxonomy places the organism in Eukaryota, Metazoa, Chordata, Mammalia, Primates, Cercopithecidae.
UCCAGGUGCAGUGGUGCUGGCCUAUAGUUCCAGCUACCCAGGAGGCUGAGGCAGAAAGAUUGCCUGAGCCCAUUUCUGGGCUGCAGUUAACUAUGCCUAUCAGGUGUCUGUACUAAGUUUGGCAUCAAUAUGGUGACCUCCCGGGACCUGGGGACCACCAGGUUGCUUAAGGAGGGGUGAAACAGCCUAGGUUGUAAAUGGAGCAGGUCAGAACUCCCGCGCUGAUCACUAAUGGAAUUGCACCUGUGAAUAGCCACUGCAUUCCACUCUGGGCAACAUAGUGAAAUCCUGUUUAAA